This 69-nucleotide transfer RNA is filed under the name Urocitellus parryii (Arctic ground squirrel). Its description in RNAcentral is "Spermophilus parryii (Arctic ground squirrel) tRNA". It matches the Rfam family "tRNA". From Rfam's summary of the family: Transfer RNA (tRNA) molecules are approximately 80 nucleotides in length. Their secondary structure includes four short double-helical elements and three loops (D, anti-codon, and T loops). Further hydrogen bonds mediate the characteristic L-shaped molecular structure. tRNAs have two regions of fundamental functional importance: the anti-codon, which is responsible for specific mRNA codon recognition, and the 3' end, to which the tRNAs corresponding amino acid is attached (by aminoacyl-tRNA synthetases). tRNAs cope with the degeneracy of the genetic code in two manners: having more than one tRNA (with a specific anti-codon) for a particular amino acid; and 'wobble' base-pairing, i.e. permitting non-standard base-pairing at the 3rd anti-codon position. RNAcentral also lists the same sequence under 1 other name. The record is from Rfam by way of RNAcentral. Lineage: Eukaryota; Metazoa; Chordata; Mammalia; Rodentia; Sciuridae.
GGGCCUGCAGCUCAGUGGUGGAGCACUUGCCUUGCGUGUAUGAGGCACUGAGUUCAAUCCUCAGCACCA